UCCCCGCGGCGCAGGCAGGGCUGUAGGGGCUGGUUGUAGGAACGGCACGCUGCAUCGACCUGGUUUUGCCCCGUUCUCGUUGGAAACCUCGGCGGUGACCAGCAGAGAUCCACCCCACAGGAACCUGUGCAGCAAGACCACAACCAUCCAAAGGCGACUGACCUGGAACGAGCUGCUUGCUGGGAAAGUCAGCGCCGGGAACGGUGGAAAGGGGCCCGUCCGAGCUCGGGGAUCGCGUGCUGGGAACAGCGAGGGCUUGGGAAGGCGGGCGGCCACGUGGCGAUGCUCUCUCUCCAGGCCCACAGCUGGAAUCACCCGCUGGGCUGUUGUUCCCAUUGGGGACCAGCCCCGCACGGGGACACGCCAGCAGACACCAAAGGGCAUCGGAGCCCCACGGGGUGCCCGGCACGGCCCCCCGGCUCCGGGCUCACCUUGCACAGCCAUUCGGGCUGCAGGUGGGUUGGAGGAAGCGAGGCGGUGCAAGCGCCUUUUCACAACCCUGACCUAAGUGUUUCUCACACAGUCAGUAAUUAACGAGAUUUAUAUUUUAUGCUAAAAUUAGCUACCCAGGCAUUUGCUUCCCGCGGCGGUGCCUGAACACCUGUGCCAUCAGCUAAAUCUCUUCCUUCCAGCAGGGCGCAGGAGCUAUAACCGGGGUUUUACUCCCGCACACUCGCUCCCACCCUUCCCAGCGCCCCAGCCCGCAGCUGCCCGCGAUGGAGAGCAGGCAGGGAAGGAGCAGGUCCCGCACAGCUCCCUCCCGUGCCUCGUGCGGCUCCGCGGCUCGCACGGCUGCACCGUGGUGUUGCCCUGCUUAGAGAACAGAAAUGUAGGUAGCUGUGUUAGGUGAACACUCGCAUCGCUUCACGGUGUAAUGACAGCCAAACUAGGUCAAGCGCUAGCAAGCAUCCUUUAAAACAAGGGGAAAAAUAUCAGUGGGAGAAGUGAUCUCCCAGGGAAGAAAAUGUUUGUUGUCAUCUACGACACUUGGCGUGCACCGGGCAACCAGAAAAAAAUACGUAUGUAUACACACAUAUCCACAUCUUUUCACAGUUCAAAUGGCAGAUCGUGUUGGGUUUUUUUCAGUUUAAGGGACACUGAUGUACCUUGGACUAGAGCGAUUUCCUCACACGCAUUUCAUACUCCAUCUCCAACCCAAAAGGAGUUUCCACCUAUAACACUCUUAAAAUGUAAUCUGGUGGCCAGCUCUUGGUGCAGGCUGCGGGCGACUUUAUUCUAUUUCAUGGUCGCUCUGCCAUGAAUAAGAGCUCUUCUUCUGCUCAGCUGAGAAGCAGGAGCACGGCCGGUAACAGGAUCCCAGCCCUGCCGGUAAAGGCAAUUUGACGCUGCUCGCUAAAAGGGGAGAGGGAGGUAAAUUAAUUUCUAUUACAGAGGACAGGCUUCCUCGGAAGAUGGGUGCUUUCUACCGGAACACAUCACGCGUCGCGAGCUGGGCACCUGGAGGGGAACACGAGGAAAUGGAGGCGGUGGUGGCUUGGUUCAGCUGGAGAGCGGCCGCGUGUGUCCCCGACGGCACCGCGCUCCCCGUGGAGCUCCCCGGGUCCACUGUGGAGCAACCGGACGGCUCCCAGGGGAACUGGAGCGGCUGGCCACGGCGCAGGAGGUUUGGCAAGUGGCAGCACACGGCCACGCGGGCCGGUGGCCUGGCACCUCGGGGGCAGCCACGAGAUGGUGAGGGCGAAGCGGUGAUCCUGGGCGCGCCGCAGUGGCACAGGUUCGUGGCAACUGGGAGCCGGGUAACUCUAAACUCUCGGUGAAGAGCAUCCUCACACCUGGUUCAGCACGCCAGAUAAAGCCUCUGCUCCUGUAAAACCUGCGCGAUUAUCAGCCAAGGCCAAGGUAUUUACCCCAAACUGGGUAAUGUCGUUUGAUGGUUCUUAAUAGCUCAAAGCGCCGAUGCGCCGAGCUGAACAGACGCUGCCGAGCAGCUCCUCAGCCGUUCCCCAGGACCGCGUAGGCGCUGCUGAAUCCCGAAGCUGAUCACCGUGGCAACGGCUCUAAACAUAUGUGCGGUGACAUCAGCUGGGUGCUGAAAGCUGUAAAUAGAGGAUAAUAGCACGAAAAAAAAAAAAAAAGAACGGGCGGGGAGCCAAGACCUAAAAAACAUACUAUUAAAACACUGCCUGUAAUUCAAUGUAUGCAAACUUGUUUGCGUCCUCGCUCCCCCGAACCUGGGUAAUUACGCACCUAACGGCACAACUGGCUGAUUGUCCUAGCGCGGGCUGCCCACACUUCAAGGAGUAUCCCAGGAACUCGGGCCUAGUGGAAACCCACCUUCAAAUUUCAUUUUAAAAUUUCGUUUUAAAGAUCGCUCCACCCAGCGUGAAAUAAGGCUAAAGGGAGUCGGGCGGAAGACGCUCCGCCUGCUUAAGGUCUCUGCUUAAGGCCCGUGAGCAGUACCCCCAACUUACCAGAGCUAUUUGUAAAUAAAGCCAUUCCCCUGGACUGGUGAAAAACAACCAGAGUGCUCCCGGUGUUUAUCGCUGAUGAACGCAGACGGGAAGCAAAGCGCUGCUUUGCAUGAACGGGAGCCAUGGCACAACUCGGUUCUGAGGUCGUGCUGCAGGCCCCAUGCCCUGGCCAAGAGGAGGAGAAGCAGGAGCAGGCACAUGUCUGCGGGACAGGAUGGGACAGGAUGGGACAGGAUGGGACGGGAUGGGACGGGACGGGACGGGACGGGACAAGCUCACUCCUCAAAGACCGUGCGGACAGCGUGAAGGGGCCGCGCAUCCCACUGGCCUCACGCUCGGCACCUCGUUUGGAUCAGUGCUGCUGUUCAGGGAGUCCUUCAACCAGCCGUCAGGGUAGGACACGGGGACAAAAUGCUUUUGUUUCCCUCGCUUUGUUCGACCCGUACUUCUGCGAUCCGCUCUGAGGGAUGUGGCCUGGGCAGCGCCAGGAACCUCAGCAGCGCCUCCGCGUUCAGCUGGCACUCGGGGAGGGGGAGAGGGGAGAAAUGGGCUUAAUAGGAUUUGCAAAUGUCAAAAAAUAUCUUUAACAGGCCCAUUUAUGCCGAGCCUCAGUGCUCGCUGAACUCCAAAGCAAAUCCGCCGUGCCCAGCACACGGCCUGCAUGCAAAGCGGGCGCCAGCAGCGCUCUGGCGGCACGGAGCAGCUCUGCUCCGUGGGGAGAGCCGGCUGCCGGGGUCGUCACACGAAGAAAAGCAGGCGCCAAAAUCCCUCACCAGGCACGGUGAAGGCCCCCAAACGUACCUGAGGGGUGUGUGUGCGUGUUAGGCCUGCUAAGAGAAACAGAAGGGAGCUGCUCCUAAAGCCGGGUGCUCGCAAAGCGAGGCGCCCGCCUGUAAAGGGAUGGCAAAGCAAGCUCCCCUUCCCUGGGAAGCGCCCUACUUUGCAAAUAAAAUAAAAAAUAACAAGGUGAGGGAAACUGCAAACCCAAACCUGACAGCUGCAGUAGAAGACGGAUGCAGCAAGGAGCCAGCAGCAAAAACUUCCCCCUCCUUUCUUUUCUAUAGAUAUCUUUCUUUUCUGUCAAUUAGAGUUGCAAGGAAAUUCAGAGAAUCGAGAUCAGCAGUGUUAAUCGUUAUUGCGUGUGAAUUUAAUUAGCAUUAUUUUUUAACUACAGGUAAUUUACUGCGGCUCACCUAAAUGAGAAAGUCGGGUAGUGCCUUCUGAUCAGCAGAAAACCGCUAAGCAAAAGAUAAUCCUGCUCCUUGCUCUAUGCCCUUAAUUUCCGUAAUCCACGGUUACCAAUUUCAGCAGCGACUGCCAUGGUUACUCCCCAGCUCCUUGCCGCGCGCGGUGCUGGAGCGGCGGCGGCUCUGCCUCGGUGCCAAGAACAGCACGUGCACCUUCCUCCCUGCCCUGCAAGACAAGCGCCCGGGCAGGGCGAGGUCUGCGUGGGGCAGGGGAAGGAGGAGCCGUGCCAGCGGGGUGACCAGCGCCGGGUGCUGCGUCCCCUGCCCGAGGUCCCUGUCCCCCGAGGCAGUGACCAGCCCCUGCAGUCCCGUGGCUGAGACCCGCGGAGCUCGGCGGGAUCCAAGCUUCUCCCAGGGGCUUUCUCGCACAAGCCUUGGGUGCGAGCAGCCCGCUUGUGCCCCUCUCCGAAGAGGAGCCGGCCGAAAUCUCACAGCGUUUUGAACCUGUUUUCUAAGCUGUCCAUCUCCGAGACGCGAAGGAGACGCUGCUGGGCUGCGGGACAAUGAGGCAGAGCUCUCAGGAUGGGAAGAAGCAAAUCUGGCACCGCAACUCGCCAGAGCUGGGCUGCAGGAGGGACAGCGGCAGCGCCCGGGUGGCUUCAGCAGAGGCCGGGGAGGGACCGAGCUGUCCCCAGGCGCAUAAGGUCCCAUCGUCCCUGAGCGCAGCCACCGGGCAGCACCAACGAACGAUUUAACACAUUUUAUGCGCUCCUACCCUGUGAAAGCCUUCCUACGCCCAGAGUUUGCAAGUCCAAGUUAACAACGCCGCACCCGGGGAUAGCGGCGACACAUCAGAAAGCCACACGCAACCCAGCAGGCGCCCUCCGUUCAGGGAGCCCAGCCUUGAAAAACCAACGCUGAACACCCUCCCUGCCCUGCGCAAACUGGAGCACACGUGCCCAAGAUAAACAACAUCACGGGGCAGGCAAGCCAGUUACUCACGGUUUAUCGCAGCAUCGCCCCAUCUAAUUGCAGAGCUACGUGGUCAGUCACUUUAAUCCGCUGUAAGCAGCUUACGCUUCCUUAGGUAGCUCGGUGACAUUGCUCACUUCCUGAUUCGGAAAUAACAAUUCUCUACGUCUUGCUCUAAAAGGUGUGAAAACCGCCAUUCCCACAGUAACCCUGCACAGAUUUGGGGACCCGCAAGGGGCACACGCAGGUGAGUGGACUCCCAGCAGAGGGUCCCAGCUCCCACCCACCCCCCUUGCUCGGUGCCGAGCCCGCAGAGGGCGUUCUGCUGGGGAGCACUGCUCUGAAGCCAAGACCAAGAGACUGGACAAACUUUGCCAGCAGCCUAUCACAUCAAAAUGCGUUCCUAAUCUUACCUCGAAUCACACCCUUCAACAAAAGCUGUUCCUGGUCUUCUUUCACCAAAUUCAGCUAUUCCCUGCGAUACCACCGGCAUUCAACUUCUCCCGGUAGCCAGGCCGGCCGUGCUCCAUGGCCACGCUCAAGGACCCGUCCUGCCUGCACACGGCUCCUGCGACCGCUGUCCUCCUGCCCAGCCACUGCUCCCAUUUCCCCACGAGGGCACGGGGCCGAGGAGAGGCCACCCGGAGGGGCAGGACGCUGGGAGCACUGGGAUGCCACACGACGAGCACUGGGCUGCCCGCAGCAUCCUCGGCGCACACCCCACCGCUGCCAGCCGCGCGCUCUCCAUUUAUCCCCUACUGCUGGGGACGGGGCGCCACAACCCGCUCCAUUUCUGGACGGCGUUUCAUACUUCCAAAUUCUACCAUAGCAGUUCUUUGAUUUUUCUGCGUUGUGUUUUCAAAAGCCUUGCUGGUACCCACACAAAUAGGCAUAAAAAGCUGCAGCAGUCCGAAAAAACAUCCCCACGAUUACAGGGGAACCCGUCCCUCCCCACCCCAACCCUGGAAGAGCAAAAGCACAUUUUGGAUUUUCCCCCCAGCUACGCGGAGCAGCAGAGGCCACAGAACUCAUCUGAAGGCUCCGGGGAAGGACACCAACCGUUGGGUUGUAGCAAGCUUUCCUCCCCGCUCGAAAACAACCGCUGCUGAAAGCGAAAGCUCGCACCCCGCGGGGCCGCGCGGCUCGCGUGCUGCCGCAAAGGGGAUUUUUGCGACUUGCAACACCGGAGAACUUUACCCGGGCCCUACCAGUGAACUUCGGCCGCUGACCCCAAGUCAAGCUUCAAAACCAUUCCAGAUACCGGACCAGACCAAAAGUCAUCGGCCGACAAGGCCUGCCUCUGACGGCCCCAAACCCGUGUUUGGGGAGACCGUGGGGCGAAACCCUUAUUGCAAGCAACUUUCUUAAGCUCGACUCAAAAAUUUAUUUUACCGGCUGUAAAAUUCAUUUGUGCAGUUGCGCACCCCGGUAGGCUUGAAUGGGGCGAAGGAGCGUCUCAACUCCCAGCGCAAUUUAUUAUUUAAAAGCAGUAAAAUUACAUUGCUGAUAGGAGAGCCCGGGCUGAGAGCAGCGGUGAUGUAAUGGGCACUGCAGCGCCUCGCGCCGUGAGCCGCUCGGUACAUUAGCGUGCUGGCUGGGGUGGUUGCUCCUAUCAAUUAUUUAUAGUCUUCUGGCGCGCAGCCUGGAGAGGGUCACAUCGCUGAAAGCUAACUUUAUCUUCAUUGUUCCCAGCCUCCUGCCCAGCUGUCACUCCGCUCGCUAAUUUAAUACGCUCAGAGCAGUGUAAAAGGACGCAGGAUUUUUGUUCCGCUCCGUCCCUCCCCUCGCUGGCACACGGAGGUGCGCUCUCGGCGGGCUCUGGAUCCGCGGGGAGCCGUAACCCCGGGUAAGGCACGGACCCGGCCCCCGAAGCCUCCGUCUGGGGCUGCCCCUGCCAUGGGAUGGCCGAGCCGUGGCGUGCCCUGCGCCCUGCACGUGGCUGCCUGCUGCGUCCCACAGCCAGGGCUUCUCGACGCCGUGCGUCAUGAGGGGAAAAGGAGAAGGCUCGCGUCGGCUCCCCAGAAAGAAAUGGACAAGAAAAGGAAAAAUCUCAAAUUUUGCUACGAUGCGGCCGAUCCCCGCCCUGCACGGCCCCACGCCAUGCCCAGCUCAGAGCCUCGCAAGCUGCUACCCCUAAAACCGUCGCUUUUCCACCCAGCACACAAGAAAGCCGCUCGGCGAGGCUCCCGAGGCUCCGGCUCGCCAGCACGCCUCUUCCCCUGCUCACCACAGAACUCCGUUUAUCAGGGCCACUUCUGGAACCUGCUUUCAAACGGGCUGCUCCUUUGGGUGGACAUCACCAUGAAAGCAGCUCGGUGUGAACACGGUGUGUCCCCAGGACAUCGCCCAGCAAAGCCCCGGCGCACGGAGACCUGCGCUCGGCCCGUCCACCGACCAGCUUGGUCGGCAUCCCAUACAUCACCCAGGCACCUGCCCCAUGCCUCCGACUGCAAGAAAAGCCCAGCUCCAGCUUGAGCAAUGGGGCGCUUCUCAGGUCUGGCCAGGCGGUCUUAUUUUAAGCCAUGAGAAGCAUCCAGAUCUGGCUCAGACGCAGAAGACCAUUCUGAUGACAACAUCUGAAAACACCACGCAACGAUUUCGUGACAAACACCACCUUUGCACAAAAAGGAAGUUGUUGAGAAAAAAGCCAGCACAGGCCCGGAGGAAGCGGGUUUGUUUGCCCCUCUGGGGCACGAAGAGGGGCCGCAGAAGGGCUCUGCACAGCUCCAGCCCCGCGCCCCACCAUGGCACAGGGAACGGCACCGACGGCCACGGGAAAUGCUGGGGCCGGGGGCAGAGCAGCUCCAGCAGUGAUGGGGGACAACAGCCCUUCUGCACUACCUGAAUCGGGAGAAUUCUGCCCAAAACUCUGAGCUGUGGGAAGCUGCACCAGCCGCGGGAGCAGCAAGCUGGUUCCUGUCCCCGGACCGGCACCACGUCGGGAAAAAAGCUUCCGAGCAGGAGCCGAGCCCCGCGAGAGGCAGCCGGGCUCCGCUCCCACCGGGCUGGUUUCGUGUGGGGCUGUACGUAUGCUCCGAAUCCAGGAUUAUUUCCAUGGCAACUAUCUUGAGAACUUAUUAAGUAAAAAAACAAGAACAGUUUGAACACACAGAACCUACAUUUGUAACGUACGAGCUGACUAAAUUAGCAGCGCGAAGAUUUUUAGUAAUCAAAAUAGAUUAUGUUCUAGCAGCCCCAUCUCCUCCUUACCAGAGCUAAAGAGAAAAAUCAGACAGUAAUAUCGAUGGGGGGAGGUCGCAGAUGUUGUAAGACCACGGCCCUCUAUCAAGCCAAGCCUUACCCCAGGUAAGAGACAUUAACCAGUUCAAGGGCCGUUAGGUAGGGCUGAGUUUCCGAGGGACGACAGACUUUGUCAGAACCAAACCGCGGACCGCCACGCGACACGAGGCAGUUACCUAGUGCAAAAGUUCAUCGAAUCACCCCAAAACGGCACAGAAAAGGCAUCGUUUGCAGCCCGGCCCUCCCGGGCCAUGCGCAGCACCGGGUGUCGCCGCCUCCUCCAUCGGGUGGCACCGGCACCGCUGCGCACAGCACGGCGGCAGCGGGGGCACGACGCCACCCAAGGGGAGGGCUGGGGGAAUCAGAGGAGUUCUGGAAACACCUGGGAGCUAACGCUGCCGGUGAACGCGGUAUCGACUCGGAGCGAGAUGUCGGUCAGCCUCAACGGGAGUGAUCCGGAGAGGGCUUUAAAAAGAAGCGGUUAAAUGAGCUGUUGGCUCAGGCCAGCCGGGGAGGCUCUAUGCAUUAUUGAUUUACCUUCGAACAACUUGGGAGCUCAUUUCCAAUGGUUUCUAAUGGAACCUGGAUUUUUCUCAGUGCUAAUCUGCCUCGUGAGGUCAAGCCUCCUGCAAGGAAAUACGAUGGCACGGCCCUAAGAUGGCAGCUGUCAGGUGUACCACGGCCCCGUUCACUUCACGGAGACGGUGCAGCGGCGACGGGGUUUCAAGGCUGCUCCAGGAGGCUCUCAGAAUUAAACGGAGUGGUGAGAACACCAGGGUGGAGAUGGCCUUGCGAGGGCCCAGAGAUAACGCUGGAGAUCUGCAAGUCCAGGGAGUCAUAACAACAGAGGAAGGUUAUGAAAAGUUUAUUUUUGCCGCCCCAGCCUGCGCACAGCACCCGUAGCCCUUCCGGAGGCGAUGCUGAUGAGCGGUGUGAGCAGAGAGGAGGCAGUUCGGAGGCGCAGCUCCGUUGCCUGCUCAGCCACGAACGCACAAAACGUUUGGGCAAGUCAGAUCUUCAGCAACCGCAGCUGCAGGACACGCACAGUAAUGCUUUGGUUUCUAUUCUUAGCAAGGCACGGAAUCGAGACAGCAUAGCAUAUGUACAGUCAGUAAACAAUUCUUCCGUAUGAUAAUCAAAGCCAUUCGAAAAUAGUAAAUUUCCAUCUGAACAAGCGAAGAUCCGCGCUCACCAGGGUGUGCAGGCCCCAGCCCCGUCUGCACGCGGCCAGGGGCCAGGCGAGGACCAGGUCAGGCCGUGCAGGAUCCGGCCGAUGGCCCCAGCGGGUCCCGGCCCCACCGGGAGCUCAGGGGCAUGUCCCGAGCAGGAACCCGCAACCCCAAAUCUGCAACCCCAAACCCACAACCUGUCACAGCAGCAAACGCUUCUGAACGCAGGGAAAUGCCUUCUCCUCAGUGAGACACACACACAGGCCAACGCUGCAGCAGGCUCAGCUUCUGAAACGUUGGUCUGGUUUGUUUUUUUAAAUAGGUGAUGAUAUUCCUUUAUCUACCCAAAGUUAAAAGGAAAAUAUUUCUUCCCAACCUUCACAGAAAAACAUUUCUUUAGCACAAAACCAAGCAGGGAAUAUUUAGCCCUAAAGGAGGCUUCCAGAAAGGCGUGAGCACAGAGAACAGUAGCUAGUGGCAGGAAGGAAAUUGUAACAUUAGCUGCAGACCGACUCCACACGCAGCUCUGCACCGCUGCACACAGACAGGGAGCAAAACGCUCGAUGCCAAAGAGCAAAAAACAACAUUUGAUCCUCAGCUCAGAUAAUUUCAAAAUCCAUCCGCAAAUGCAUCCUGCCUUACAACAAAUGAAAACCAGGGAGCGAUGGCUACGCAGCAAUUAACUGCAGCCGCUGGCUCUGGUGUUGGCAGCGUCUCGCCGGAGAACGAGACCGGCGGUGGACGCAGCCGGCCGCCUGCAGGCACCACCGCGCGCAGCCCCGAGCGCGACGCUUACCGCGGCUCGAAGUGCGCCUGGCUCCGUCCUCCCCUCCCCUUCUGUCCUGCUCCUGCUCCUGCUCCUGCUCCAGCUCCAGCUCCUGCCUGCAGCCAGGCCCCCGGCCGGGCGCGGGGACCGUGCCAAUGUCAGCGUGACCCCACAGCCGCCGCCGCGGGUCACUUUGCGGGGUCACGGCGCCAAGCGGAGCGGGACGCACGGCGCCCACCUCGCCCCGCGGACGGGGCCGCCCCGGCGCCGCACCUACGGCCCGCGGCAGGGGGAAGAUCGCGCGUGAGGGGCUCCGAGCACAUCUGGCAAAUCGAGUUCCAGCGUCGUCGGGUUUUUUUCCUGCUAACGGAGCGCCGGCAGCAGAGCCGGCAGGAAGUUCCAAAGACCAUCGGCGCGCACCCGCAGGGCACCCAGUGCCGGUAAGGUGACCCCCGGCUGCGCCGAGCAUCAGUCACUCGCGGCAGUGUCGCUUACUGCGCGAGGGGAGCGGGUGACCUGAAUGUCUCCUGCAAGAAUAAUCGCCCGCCGAAGGUGAGGGCUAACGCCUCGAGAGGGGCCGCGGCUGCCUCCUGGGAGGGCGAUGCUGCCGCCCCGGGGAAGGAGCCUUCGAAGGACCCGCGGCUGCUGCACGGAGCUCCCAGGGGCGGCCAUCGGGGAACUCGGCGCCGCCUGGAAACGCAGCCGGACUUCUCCUCUUGACCAAACCACGCUCCCCGAAGGAUGCGCCCCCGGUGAAGGGAGGCUCCAAGGCAACGGAAUGCAGUUUGCUGGAAAGAAAGGGGAAAGCUUCAAGCCUGACAUAAGCCAGGGCUCGGAUUCCUCCCCAGCACCGUCGCUGCGCCGCAGAUAAGGCUGCGUCAACUUUUCCAUUCCAACGCUCUCCCCUCUAAGGUUCACAGUCAGAGCGAAAACGUUUUGGUCAGGUGGAAACUUCACACGCAGACUCCCAGGCCAGGGAGCCGCCGGCAUAUACAAAGCCCUUCGUUCGGUGUAACCCACCGAGAUGUGCUUUCCCUGCACUGGGAAGGGAAAAGCUCGCCUCUCCCCCAUGAAAUUCCUACCAUUCCUGCACGGCAGAUAACCCCGCAGCCCGCCUCAUUCCCAGCGGCAGCCCCGCAACGCCCCCGUGACGAUGGCAGCGCGAGGUGCUGGGGCACGAGCAGGACAAACCUGACCCAGCAGCGGCCGCGCGAUGGAGGCACCGCGACCUGGCCCCGGCUCCUGAGCACCCCAACCCCACGUCACCGGCCGGGCACCGUGCUCAGGCCCGAGACGUGGCUUUGGAGAGGAGGAAAGGCUCCGACCACGCGGGUUUCUCACCCACAGCUCCCACCGGGGGCUGCAGGAAGGGGCAGGAAGCGAGGUGCAAGCCGGUGCCCCGGAGCAGCGGGGUGCAGCUCCCUGCGCUGCCGCGCGUGCCGCAGGCUCCUCCGGGAACACUUCCCUGUUUUUGCACUGUGACGGAGCGGGAGCCAGAAAACCCAGCGCGCAGGCUGCCAGCUCACAGCCGUGUGCCAUAUUUUCUUUAUCUUUUUUUUUAUUAUUUUUUCUUUUUUGAGAUUCUCCAUUUUUAAGGAAGGCGCUGAUGUCUGCGGCCAGGGGCUGCCGGCGGUGCCCGGGCGCCCGUCCCCGUGCCGGCACCGCACCGCGCGCUGGGGCCGUGCCGGGGCCUGGUGACGUGCGGGGGGGAUGGGGAGGUAUUUCGGUACCAGCGAGCGCCGCGGCCACCCCCCCCUCCCCCCGCACGCUUCACUGCAGUUAUCCCUGAAGACAGAAAAAUUUGUGCUUGUUUUUCCACUGCUGCUGCUGCUGAGCAGCUAGGAAAUAUCUCCCGCUACGGAGAGCCGGAUAAAGCCCUGGCUCCCGGAGCAGCAGCAGCUGAAAGCAGCUUCCCCCACCACCAUCCCCAUCGCAAUUUCAAGACCUUGAAUUUACGGAGGCUGGAGUGAAAGCGACAUCGGCGCGCUUGCCAGCCGCGGAGGAGCUCUGAGCGCUGGCGGUUUAUCACGUUUCCCCCAGCAGAUACGCGCCGGGGAGCUGCCUGCGCCGGCCGGGACUUAUCGCAAGGCCGGGUCGCAGCCGCUUCCUCCCUCCCUCCCUCUCUCCCCGCGAGCUCCGGGACCCGUCUGCGUUCGGCCCCCGCGCACGCGGCCGCCGCCAGCCCGCAGCGCGCCUUCCGGGGCAGCCGUGCUCAGCCAAGGGCUUGGAGCAAGCCCGGGCUUCUCUAUUUACCAAGCUCAAAUGAAAAAAAAGAAAAAAAAACAUGUUUGGAAGGGAGAACAGCCCGGCCGCGUUCUUCUUCCUCUGUUAGACCUUGGGGUGCCGGAGCACGGCGCAGCUUUCGCCCCCCAACGCCGCUCGCGUGCCCUGCGCGGGGCUGGAACUCCCCCCUGCCUGCGGCGCGGCGCAGAUGCCCCGCUGCAAACCAACUUUGUUCUUUCUGGAGGGAACAGACAGAUUGCAGGAGAAAACUAUAUCCCAGCCGCUGCCAAAUCCCACAGAUUUAGUUAUUAGUAGGCAAUUAGGAGCCAUUAUUAACGCUUCCUACUACGUUAAGCUCCAUUUGCACCGCAUCUCUGCGCCAGCCCGGACGUCGCAGCCGGAGCCGCUCUCCAGCCCCGCGGCGCACGUGGGGCCACGGGUGGAAAACAGCGUCCUCCUGCCCACGUCUCCCGGCCCCGCAGAUGUAUUUAAUGCACUUGUCUAGCAAAAUAAAAUCGUAAGUAAAAAGACAGAGAUUAGAAAAGGGGGGGAGGUAAACAAGAGUGCCGCCGCACAAAGGAAAAACAAUUUUGCUCUUGUUUUUUAGCUCACAAUCAACAUCGAAGCUAUUCAGGAAACUGGUGCACUGCCCUCCAACCAACUUCAAUUAGGGAAUUCAAAAGCAGCCAGACAAAGGAAUGCCUGGGAGUUACUGCACCGCACCGAGAUAUUUUUAGCAAGAGCUGGGAGGCUGUUUGUGGGACACUGCUUUGCUCCCGCUGCAUUCAGCCUUUGUAUUUACAUUCGCAGGACAGCUAAGAUUUACUAGGUCAGAGGGAAGGAGAGACAAGAAGCCGCGUGCGCGGUUCCGAUCGUUUUGCUUUCUGACGCUCUCGGAAGGUAUUUCGGAGAAAUCUGGUCGACUCCAGGGCGAAACAGAACGAGCUUUGCCUCCAUCCGCCUCAGAAGCAGCCCCGAGUCGCUCCUUUCCAAAGGGCGCUUCCAGCUGCGGUGCUGCUGCCCCUGGCGAGCCCAGAGCCCAGCCCCGGCCGUGUCCCCCCCCCCCCCUCCGGGUCAGCAGAUGCCAGUCAGAGCCCGCAGAGCGGUGACACUCGGUGACACUCGGUGACACUCCUUGUGACACUCCUUUCGAGGCAGGCCACGGGCUUUGUCGCGGGAAGACAAUCGCCAAAAACAAAGGGCCACAGGAGUCGGCCAGAUCCCCGAGCUGGAACGAGGCUGGAGCUGGAAUACAUUUUCCGAGGGGAAGAGCCCCUCUCCGAUCACCCCUGCGCACCGAGGGCUCCACCAGGACCCUACGAGACGAGCUCAGCAGCUCCGGCAGCAAGCGGCGGUGCCGGAGCAGUCAGACCGCCCUGCUCACCCAGGGAUCGUCUCCGAGGCAGAGAGCAGUGCAGGGACGUGGGGAGUUUCCAGCAGCCCCUGCGGAAGGCGCUGAGCCCCCGGGAGUGCACAGGGCUGCCCGAGGCAGGGGUAACCAGAGGCUGGAUGGAGCCCGAGGACGGUGGCACCGCACGGCAGGCGCCCGCGGCACAGCGGCGUCGGCUGCUCAGGUGGCACUGGGACGCCGCCCGUCCUCCUGCCCCUGCUGUAACAACCGCUAGGUUCAGAUGGGUGCUGUAAAGCUCUAAUUAACACCACGCGCUGAGCAGAGGCUUCGAACUCUCUGUAAUUUACCCCUUCACGUGCCAGCCUUACAGCACGCCUGCUCAUCCCGGUGGAGCAAGGCACCAAAAAGAGCCUGUGCGGGGCCGGGAGCCGUGCCCAGGUCCAAGCUCUCCGUCCCUGCGCCCCGCAGCCCCCCGACGCCACCCCUGCCCAUGGGGGAGGUCUGCAAGGGCGCAGUCCCUGCAAGCGGCCAGGCACGUGGCCGUGGGUCCAGCUGCACCCCGACAGCAGGUACACGUCCCCGGGCUGCGGGAACACGGUGCGGGCACUGCUCCUGAGGGCAUCUGCCCAGCCCUGAGACCGGGCUGUCGUCCUGCCGAAGGGAUUCCCUCUUCUGCCCUCGCUGCUUUUCAAAAAGCUGGGAGGGAGGAAGGCUCCUGAAGUCAUCUCCGACCCCUUCUAUAACAACCCCGGUGAUCUGCCCACUGCAACGGGCGCCGAGCAGCUCUGCACCCCAGCUUUACACCGUCCGAGUAAAUCUGACUCAAGCGAAAGCUCGGGGACCUGCCGGCUGCUCCUGGUGCAGGCAGCGGCUUCGUGAAAACCCCCCUGGGCAGGCAGAGCUCGGGCACGGCUUUGCAUGUGCCUGGGAUUAACCCCGACAAACGAAACGUUUUCUUAACUGCUCAAAUCCCACGCCCUGGGUACGUGCGGAGCCGUGCGCUGAUCCCCAGAGCCCCAGGCUGAUGUUAGAGGUGGCCGCCCUGCCCCGGGGUGGCUGCAGGUGGCCGCGGGGACAGGCGGGCUCGGGGCAGGGCAGGUGGCACGCCAGGAAGGGAAAGUUCUUGUCGAGCGCGAAACCAUUUCCCUGCCCCGCUGGAGGAAACCUGGUGCCUGUUCAAAGACACCGGGCUUCGCUUCUGAGGGUGCAAGAGACUAAAAAUAAUCUUUAUUUUUAAACUGCUUAGCGGUCAUGGGAUCAAGCAGAACAAAAGGAGAAAUCCGCUCGGAGGGGAUCGAUCCUUCUGGGGCUCAAGUGGCACACGGGGCCCCCAGGAGCAGCAGCUGGGUGACGGGCCCGGGGGAAGCAGGGCUGCACCCUACGAGUCCUGGGGUGAGCGAACCGCGGGGUCCUGCGGCGGGCACCUUGCAGAGUCUUACGAAGUCUUACGCAGCCUUAAGGGAGAUACUUGAAGUAAGAACAGCAAAAAUAGGAAAUAAUUCAAACUAAUAAAAUCAAUCAUUUCCAAGGCCAAAAGGAUUUGCUGCAAUCAUCUCAGCCACCAGCCCAACAGGCGACAGAACUCCCCACGCUGUCUUCUUUCACGUUCUGCUGAUGCAAACCGACCACAGCAGAUACAAAGCCUGCAACCCGUCCAGCCACCCGCAAAAACCAGGCGCCGAGGGUCCUGAGCGUGCUUUGACAUCACGUGGAGACCGCUGCCUUGAUGCUUGCUCGUCACAUCGCCGGCACCCGUGGUCACUUCCUAGGGGACGCAGUGGGAGGCCCCCGGGGUGCCCCGAUGACGCUGCCCCCACCGGGGACAGGGCCGGACUGCAGGGUGCAGGUGCUCUGCAGACUGCGACCACGAGUGGCCGAGCAAACAGCUCUUGGGCUCUUGGGUUCUGGCGUGGCCGUGGCACCAGCUCCUGGUGAAGCCACGGUUCAUGAGAUCGUUCUCCAGUUCUGCACACGCAUCCUGCCCCGAAGUUCGGCUCGGCGAGCGCACGGGCAGGGGAGAGCAGAAAAAACAGAGUGGACGAAAACGAGUGAUCGUGGUCCAUGUGAUCAAAGGGCACAAGCACCGCAGAGACAAUCUGCGUGCUGCCCUUCACAACCGGGCAGCCGCACCGACCAGAUGGGGCCUUAAAUGGGAUUAAGAGGAAGACGGCACGACGACAUCCAGCCCCUUCCUCCGGGGCUGGAAACUCGCCCCGCUCGCGGCCGAGGAAGGCUCCGCCGUGGGGAAGCAGCUCUCUGCUUUUGCCUUCUUUGUUCUUCCCAGCCGCUUCCUCCCUCCUGGUUACCUUACAAACCUGCCAUCUCUGGCAAUUCCUCUUCUCCGGCAAGUCUUUGAGGUGCACAUUAUACAAGAUACACAAAAAUAAAUUGUUUUUAAUCCUCCAGACUCUAGUGCUUCCAAACAAGGAUCUUAAAGAGCUUUACAAACAAUGGAUUAAGCCUUAAGACUCCCUGUGAGGUAAGAAAGUGCUGCUUGUACAGAAGCAGAGGAAGGUGAGCGAGGCUGAAGGGUGAAGGAAUGCAACCCCAUAAGCAGUGCAGAAGCGCCCUGCUUCCGCACAGGCGGGCACGCGCUGGUCUACCACCGAUCCAUCAUCCACGCAGAGAUACCUUUGCCUUUUCGCUCCAGACUCUGCAGGACUGAAGGACACCGUGCAUCUCUCAAACACCAAACGCACGUUCCCACCUUUGACUAUCAGGACUGCUGUUACCAACGCGUGGCCAGACGCAGCCCUGCAGGCUGCAGCAGCCCCGUGGGUCCCUCCUCGGCGACUUUCAGGCAGCUCACCGGGUGCGACCCGGCGGAGGAAGGCACCUCCUGCCUCGCUCCCCAGCCUUAGGGCAACGGGGGGGGGUGGGCACGGGCUCUGCACCCUCAGACUGCAACCGCCACGCAUCCCUCGUGCGCAUCCCGGCCUGGGAAGCCCGUACGCUCCUUCCCAAAUAUAUUUUGCAUACAUCUUGUAAACAAGUUUUACAUCCUUUUGAUCAGCUCUGCAGACGGCUUGUCCACGAGGCGAGGAGGGGGAGGGAGACUUCCUGUUCCAGCGCUGCAACCGCUCCGAGCAACGCGCUGCGUGCGCUCAGCUCCUGCCCGCCCUGCGAGCAAUGAGGAAAUUUUCUAUUUUGGUGGCUUUUUCAUCAUAUAGACGUAGCAAACAGGCUGCGCUCCAGUCCAGCACCGCUGCUGACCUGAAUGUAUUUUUUAUUCGUUUUAAACUGGCAGAGCAAUUUGCCGUUUGGAAAAGCCAAAACUUUUUCUGGCUGCCUGGCUUCUCGGUUUCCUCGCCGUUUAUCUGAAAGCAGACAUUUUUUGCAACGAGCCUUGUUUACAGGAAAAUUACGCUUCUGCACGCAGCGAGGCACACCUUCGGGUUUUCUUGCCGUUGCUUAUCCGUUGAGGACAAACCCGGUUCCUGCUUGCCCACGGGCAACCAGCCAAACGCUCACCAGCUGACACCUCGGGGUGCCUCGCGGGGGCUUCACGUGCCCAAAGGCCCUCCGAGGACCGACCGUGCGACCUCCCCGCGCUGCCAACGCGCACGCCGGCGCAAAACCACCCGGCUGGUGCCGGCGGCGUGCCGCCAGCCGAGGCUGCAGACGGCCGGUGCCUGCCUCCGCCGGGAAGCAGCGAGCAGCCGCAGGCUCCCAGCCCCAGCGCUGCGCCGCCGCUUCCAGAAGCCGCCCGCGCUCUCGUGACUCCAGCUCACCCCUUCCACCGCCGCCCCGUGCCAGCUCGCACGAGGAGCUCGUAAAAGCAGCAGCGUGCUGCAGGCAGCCGAGCUGCAGCCCGGGAAUGUUAUGUAGCCGGUUACUAACGGCGCUUUGCAUAUUGGGUUUCAAACCCGACGUGCUUCUACAUGCUCCACGUCAACAAGGGGAGGGGAAUUGUCAAAGCCGAGGGAAGCCUUCCUAAUGCGAGUUAUUAGCUGUGCAGCGGGCUACCAGGUGCGCUGCGAAGGCCCUGCAGGGCUGUUCCUGCAUCCAUUUCAACCCUUCCCUUUUCGGAACAGCCCCGGUUCCUUUUCCCAUCGUUUUCCCAUCGUUUUCCUCCAGCGCCGGUUUCAUACGCGGUCUGCGAGCGGGCAGGAAUGCCUCGCAUCCGUCAGCGAGACGAGCAGCGGGAACCUGGCAGGUUUCAGAUACCGAGCAGGGAGGAAAAAUAAACACAGGAUAGAUUCUUCUGGGUUAAACCACUUGCCAAUUCAAGGGAAAGCUUUUUUUUUUUUUUCUUUUUUUUAACAAACAGAACAUAUUACAUGAAGCUGUGGGUGUGCUACUCUUACAGAUGCUCUCCGUGAACCAAAAUUUGCUGAAAUUAUUACAGAAACAUUCCACCAUCUCCCAAAAUAAGCAUCUUUGUGUAUCUUUGCCUGGUUAAACGAUGAAAAAACCUGCCUAGCGGAGCAGUUUCCAUUUCCUAGCACACUCCUACCAGGGCUGCGCUCGCAAGUAAACGCACCGACCUUUUCUCAAAGAAAUCAGUGUUUGCCGCUCCUUAGAAAUGUGCAGGGCUCUGGCUCGCUUCCAUUUCACCCACUUCUGAAUGCGGCGCUCCCCACCCCCAGACAACUGCUCCCUCCCGCAGGAUGACGGCUGCCCAAAAGCCCCGGGAGCGCCCCGGCUCCACGGGAGGCUGGGCUGGGGCGACGGACGGAGGGACGGGGAUUUGGGACCCACUUGUUGCAGGGGUGCCUCCCCCGCGGCCGAGCUCCUGCUGACCUCAGAAGCGCCGUUUUUUUCAAGCGCUGCCCUCGCCCCAGCUUUUCCAAGCCAUUAUUUUUGGCACGUUUAAUUCUUUAUUAUUUUCCUGUGAAGGAACUGCAGCUCGAAGCCCUUACGAUCGGUUCUUGCAGUUACUAGAAGGAUCGCCCCGCAGCCUCGGUCUGUUUUUCUGUCACCGCUGAUGUGGUACACAAAGAAUGAGAUUUUUCAAUUUGUUUUGUCUGUGAGCCAAAAAUUCCUUUUAAUGGAUUGAAUGUGGUGCCUGUGCUAGUCUCUCACCGUUCCAGCUCAGCUCUCACUUACAACAGUUACUGCCUACAACGUGGAGCUGGCCUCCUUUCGCAGCAAAAUAAGGCCAAACCAGCUUGAAAGCAUGUUUGGAAUCUGGAGAUUAAUUCCAUGUAAACUAAUGCAUCCAAAUGUCUUUGUACAGCUUCAAAAAGAGCUGCCUGGUCCCGACGAGAAGUAGGGCAGCGCAGGCCCACGCGCUAGGACGGGGAGGUGGCGAGAGCUGCCUCCAUUUUGAAACUCUGCCUGCGCUCGCGACCAUUAGGGGACGAGCGCCCGGCCGGGCGGCCGCACCGCGGUCCUGCGCCCCUGCAGAGGGGCCGGGGCCGAGGUGGGGGGGGGGGGGAGCCCCCUGAAAAAGCCUCCCGAAAAACAAAGGAGCGGCUGAGCCUCCGCGGAGGCGGGUCAGGAGGUCGGGACGGCUCCCAAAGCUGGCCUCUCCCCGGGACGCGGGCGCUUUUGUUCGCCACAAAACGCUGGGAGAAACAAAGCCGCGGGAGGACGGGGCCGGGGGGCUGGGGGGGGGGACGCGCCGCUCGCCGCCUCUGCGGGACGGGCUGGGGGCUCGGGGGCUCGCGGCCCCCCGGCAGCAGGGCAGGCACAGCCCUGGCCAACGGCUCCGUGCUGCUCACCGCCACCUCCCUCCCUCCCUCUCUCCCCGGGAGAUAAAUUAUUCAGAAUGAAACCAUUUUAAACUCUGCUGGGAUGCUGAGCGAAGCUAGCUAAGAUGGGUGGUGCCGCGCAGGAAGCCGCGAGGGACGUUACCAGAAACCCGCGCCUGCUCAUACAGAAAGCGGCGAGCGCGUACGGCGGCGCUGGGCCAGCCCUCGCCACGCAGCGUGCCUCGCCUCGUUCCCACGCCUCGCAGCGUCGCCGGCGUCAGCGGGGAUCCAGCCCGGAGAGCGGCCCCGAAUUUCUGGCGGCCACGCGCUGAGAGCAGCGCGCACGCCCGCGGACAGGCCGCCGGCCUCGUGCGAGGCCCCGCAGGACGCGCACGCUGCUGCCCAGCCGGGGGGUCCCCGGGGUCGCCGCAGCGCCAGCUCCAAGGCAGAGCGAGGUGCUGAGCCUCGGGAACUGUCCUGCAGCCCUGCCCCAAGCCAGCUUCCCGUCUCUCACAGCUCCCACUUCACCAUUAUUUUGAGAACAGCCAAGUGCCCGUAUGCCCACGUUUUCUCCCCGCUUGCACGACAAAAAGCAGCAGGGCACGGUUUGCACCACCGUCGCCCCAACCGGGCGGCGCGAUGAGGGGCAGUGCCCGGAGCCUGACGGCUGCCAAAGCCCCCGCUGGGUGCUGGCACUGCCUGAGCACAGGGAGAAGCGAGGGGCAGUGGGCAGCGUGGGCAGGAUGCGGCCACGCACUGGUGUACGCUCAGCGGGCACCGGGCUGGCACGGCACGCGGCCCCGCCGCACCAAUGUGCCCGGGUCGGAAAAGGGAGCAUCGAGGAAGAGGGAGCUCAGGGAAGAGGUAGUUCAGAAGGCUUUGUGUUGGUUUGUUUUAAAAGGAGGAGACAAAAUAAUUAAACGGCCUGGAAGCUCUUCUACAUUAAGAGUCAGCGCAGCACUAAGCAGCCAGCACUGACAGCUACGGGUGAAGCCCUUUAAGUUGCCAUGGUAGUUGAUGCAGCUGCUCGCCCACUCCUUCUUCAAUAAUGCGGGAUUAUUUUUUUAAUGCAAUUCAACUACAAACAAGCAGACGCUGCUGAAGGGAAAAGUACUUGCUCGCACCACGAGAAACCCUCCGCCCUUCAUCUCUGCCCCAGGCAGGCAGCGGAGGAGCAGGCAGCAGGCAACGCGCAGCCAAGGCAAACACGCAGCGCUCGACUUCGCUCUCACCCUCUCCGGGGAGGGAGGAAAUUUAAGAAGCAGAUUCCAGAUUUCGGCAUCCAUUUCGGCUUCCCUCCCCCUCCCGACCCGUCGCUCCCUGGGCCCCAAGCGGCUAUUCAGCUGCUCCGUCAGCUGAACGCUGCGUUAGCUUCCUCCCUCAAGCCCCAGCCCAGCAAGCCUCCCGGCACGCGAGACGUCGGACGGGAAAGCCAAGUCUUCUCGGGCUGCGCCUGGGCUCCUUUUAAUUAAGCGCGCGGGCAAAGAGCCGCUCGCACAGAAGCGUUGGCUCUGUAAAGCCCAAGCCAGCAGCACCGACGGGGGCAAGUCAGAGCACGACGAGACCCAAACAAAGGCAAGCAAACACGGGCCGCGAGGGAGGAGCAGGAUACAACCGCACUGACCUGCCCAGCUAUUAUUUUCGCAAUCAAGCCGAGGUCUAGAAACUCCUACGGCCAGCGCGGAGGCUUCAGGGGCCCGGGAGCUGCCUUGCAGCGAGCGGCCUGCCCAGCGAAGCCAGCCCUUCCCCACGUGCAGGCAGCGCCUUUAAAGCGGUCACACGCUGGAUUUGGUGGCAGUCGCUUCCAACAGGCAGCGGGGGCUGAGGAGACCGUCCCCAUGGCAGGCGCCCCGCUCCCCGUGGGACCUGCCCGCGGCCCCGCUCGGGGCUGGCGGCACAGGGGUGGCCUCAGCGGCGCGUACCGCUGCCUCCACCCAAACACUGCUCCCAGCUCCUAAUCCAGCAUAAAUCGUUACAGCAAACGCUCACGCUACAAGCCUCCAGGCUCUACCAACAGAGCUGGGCUUGCACGCGGGCUGUGAGAACUGGUUCCAUCAGCCGGAGAAGCCGCGGCCGCGCUCAGGGAGCACGUUCAGGCUUCGUAGGACUGAAGCGAAAGCAGCCCCCCGCUCUGACACCAGCCAGCCCCGGGCAACCCGAACCGGGGAGCACGUUGCCACGCCACAGGCCAGGAGGGAACGGCCACCGGGGACCUCUGGCAGGGGGCAGCUCCAGCCGAGAUGGGGACACACAGCGGUGCCACGGCGCCUUUGUGGCCGUGCCUCGUCGGUGCUAUUGUUCCUUGGCCUCCCCUAAUCGCCGCGCUCUGCCCGCCGCCGCGCUCAGCUGUGGCUCUUUGUGCCUCCCUCCGCCGCCUUCUGCUUCUGUUUGUCCUUUUGAUCCCUGCCUCGCAGCCCGCGCUGCCGCCCCACCCCCUGCCUGCUUUCCACUUUUAUUAGGGUGCGAGGAACAAUGCCUCUCAGCUGCGGGGCUUUGAAGCUGCUCGCGUUACUUACCGAGAGAUCCCCCGUCUCCCACCGAAAUAACGCAGCGUUUUACCUCCACCGAAGCACUCCCUGGUUGUUUCCAGGUGGAAGCAGUUAAAAAAAGCUGCUGGCACAUUAAAUGCAUAAAAACA
Long non-coding RNA from Cygnus olor (mute swan), 21614 nucleotides. RefSeq lists it as uncharacterized. The record is from RefSeq and is a predicted model, not a curated record. The transcript has 2 exons. NCBI's taxonomy places the organism in Eukaryota, Metazoa, Chordata, Aves, Anseriformes, Anatidae.